RNAcentral lists this ribosomal RNA (491 nucleotides) under uncultured bacterium. RNAcentral's name for it is "partial 16S ribosomal RNA". It matches the Rfam family "Bacterial small subunit ribosomal RNA", at positions 30 to 506 of the family's 1533-position model. The record is from RNAcentral.
AGUGAACGCUGGCGGUAGGCCUAACACAUGCAAGUCGAACGGCAGCACAGUAAGAGCUUGCUCUUACGGGUGGCGAGUGGCGGACGGGUGAGGAAUACAUCGGAAUCUACUUUUUCGUGGGGGAUAACGUAGGGAAACUUACGCUAAUACCGCAUACGACCUACGGGUGAAAGCAGGGGAUCUUCGGACCUUGCGCGAUUGAAUGAGCCGAUGUCGGAUUAGCUAGUUGGCGGGGUAAAGGCCCACCAAGGCGACGAUCCGUAGCUGGUCUGAGAGGAUGGUCGGCCACAUGGGAACUGGGAACCGGUCCAGAUCCCUAGGGGAGGCAGAGGUGGGAAAUUUUGGACAAGGGGGGCAACCCGAUCCCGGCCAGCCGGGGGGGGGAAAGAAGGCCUCGGGGUGGAAAAGCCUUUUUGUUGGGAAAAAAAAGCAGCAGGUUAAAACCCCGCGGUUCGGCGGGUACCAAAAAAAAAAGCACCGCUAAAUUCGGU